UACAAAGAUGGUCUUCUCCAUUCUCUUAUUUUGCUGAGCCGGUGUUGCAACGUUUGGGUAACACUAUUAACUCCAGCCAUCUCUCCACCUUUACACCUUCCCACCAAGGUUUCCCAAACCCUAAUUUUUAACAAGCAACUUCUCUAGUACUCUUUCACCUCUAUAUAAAAUUUCACUCCGAAUUACAGACCACCAUAUUACCAGUUCAUCAACACAAAUUCAUUUGCAUAAAUGUCUCAUAAACAUGUAAAUCCAGUGUUGUUGUCUCUCUGAUUGUUUUUUUUUUUGCUAAGUCCGAUCGUGUUCUUUGAAGAUGUUGUUUCCAGAGUGGCUGAGGCGAGGUUGAUUUUCAAGCUCAUUCAGUUUCAGGAAGCUUGGAAUCCAGCAGAAGCUGGGAUGCUAAUUGCUCUUGAGCUUCUCCUGAUCGACGAGAAGGAUUUAUCGCACCUAAUCGUGUACGCCAUUAUGAAGCUUUUCUCAAGCUGAGCUCCACCUCUUUAGCCUCACCAACUUCUUCGCGACGAAAAACAAAGGUCAUUAACUACAAAUACACGAGUUGCUUUACUCACAUCUUAAUAUCCUUUGAUAUAUGUCUUUCUUUACUGUCUAAGACGUCAAAAAUGUCUUCAAAUCUAUUUAGAAAGUUGUGAUAGUUACAGGAAAUGAGCUUGGAUGUUAACAUAACUAGCAAUGUUGGUCUUCAAGGUUCCCUUGAUUCUAUUGGUGAAUCAAGUUGAACGAAUGGUUCAGAUGGGAACACAACGAUAUAUUUCUUGAAAAACUGAUUCUAACUUUAUGGUUAAGAGUCUUACGCAUAAGAAACUGUAUGUUAAUAAUUACUAAUUAUUGGUGGCUUUACAUAAAACUUAAGCCUCAGAAACUGAUAUUGGUGGUUUCCCUUUGUUUUGUUUUUUUGUUUUUUUUUUUUUUUUUGAUUAACCUGGAGGGACUUCCACCUCCAGGGGCCAACCCCUCGGCGCGAGGCGGACCAUUUGGUACUAUGGGGAAUUAGAUACCCCAAUUGCCUGGCCAGCGGUUCGAACCCGGGUGCGUAUUGAGGCCGAAGCUCUCUCAACACCACCAGGCUAACCCAGCUGGUUCCCUUUGUUUUGUUGCAGUGAUCAGUUGGGCAUACGGUUUUAUCAAUCACUCAACCUCGACCUCAACCUGCGUAAGGUCAACAAGGUGAGAGGCCACUGGAGUGCAAGAAACAGUGCGUAAACUUUUUAUAUGAUAUAUCAAGUUGCAUAGUCAGGGUGUGGUUUAUAUGAGAUAUCAACUUUUGGAGGGUGAUUGGCUUAAAAUUGGUUAUUUGGUUUAGGUCUGAUUUUUCAUAUGUAAUGUGUUUCUGAUCAUGAACCGGUUUGAGCAAAUAGUAUUUUUCAUUAAGGUAAAUAUAGUUUUACUGGUUCUCUCGGUUCGUAAAAAAAAAAGGGUGUACUUAUGUGUGCAUCUAACAACUCAGGAUCCAAAACAACUAACAUUAAUUGAAUGUUGUAGAAACUUCUUUAUACUUUGGAUAAUUUUCAUACUAUGGGGACUAUGUAGAUUUUUGCAUCGUAUUAAGAAACCAACUGAAUUGAGAAUUUUGGAAAGAACAUCUCAAUGAUGUUAAAAAAAAAUAAAAACCCGGUGUACUGGUAUAAAUCAUCAAGUGGAUGGCCCAUAACCAAGGUCCAACAGUGUGGAAGAGAGGCGGCCAAGUUCCCA
Molecule: long non-coding RNA, 1710 nt
Organism: Brassica napus (rape)
Lineage: Eukaryota; Viridiplantae; Streptophyta; Magnoliopsida; Brassicales; Brassicaceae
Exons: 3
Source: RefSeq, a predicted model, not a curated record